Molecule: long non-coding RNA, 879 nt
Organism: Ostrinia nubilalis (European corn borer)
Lineage: Eukaryota; Metazoa; Arthropoda; Insecta; Lepidoptera; Crambidae
Exons: 2
Source: RefSeq, a predicted model, not a curated record
UUAAUAUGUGUGUACCUACAUAACUACACUGACUGACAUAGCCCGCAAUCGCUAAAAUCAAGUGGCAGUGGGCGGGGCACAUAGGUCGUAGAGCUGAUGGCCGCUGGGGCUGGAAAAUUCUUGAGUGGCGACCACGAGCCGAAAGAAGGCAGGCCUCCUACUCGCUGGACCGACGAUCUGUGGGUCUAGACAAAGUGCAAAUUAUAAUCGCAAACCAGUCGAAAAGUGGUCGAAAAGCCCCUUUUUUGUAUAGAGUUUUGACGGAUUCGAUUUUCGAUUCGAUCAAAAAGUGCGUCUUGUCUAAGGGGGCUGGUUAGUGGCGGCGUAGCAUGGGUUGGCACCGGAAGAGCAACAAAGAAUGAGCGAGCGAGAUGUCACUAUCUGCAACCCUGUGUGAUAAAAAGAGAUGUGUAAUGCCGUCACCGUCACGUCAAUAGAACCAUUUUUGCAAAAGAUUUGACAGACAGUGACACUAAGAGGCACAAAGAAAAUUUCAAUUCAUUGUUUUUUAUAAAAAUUUCGGAAAAUCCUGUUUAUUUUUGUAAAAAUUGUAUUCUAAUAUAAUGGUGACCGGUUCCGUCCUUGAUUGUGAUGUACACCAAAGGAAUAAUCCUGCAAAAUAUUCAUUUCACAGAUGUUUGUACUGUGCGGGAAUCGAACCCGCUACCUCCGGAAUAGUAGUCCGUUUCGAACCACUACACUAUACGGCCAACAACGAUUAUUACAUCGUUAGAAUCCUAUUUUCUUACGUUAUCGUCAGAAUUAUCAUUUUUUAAUUAUUGUUUUACUCCUACUAAUAUUAUAAAUGCGAAAGUUUGUAUGGAUGUCUUGAUGUUUGUAACUCUCACUCUUUCAAAUAAAUAAGUUGAAUAAUUUUAA